RNAcentral lists this ribosomal RNA (500 nucleotides) under uncultured bacterium. Its description in RNAcentral is "partial 16S ribosomal RNA". It matches the Rfam family "Bacterial small subunit ribosomal RNA", at positions 30 to 523 of the family's 1533-position model. The record is from RNAcentral.
AUUGAACGCUGGCGGCAUGCCUUACACAUGCAAGUCGAACGGUAACGGGUCCUUCGGGAUGCCGACGAGUGGCGAACGGGUGAGUAAUAUAUCGGAACGUGCCCAGUAGUGGGGGAUAACUGCUCGAAAGAGCAGCUAAUACCGCAUACGACCUGAGGGUGAAAGGGGGGGAUCGCAAGACCCCUCGCUAUUGGAGCGGCCGAUAUCAGAUUAGCUAGUUGGUGGGGUAAAGGCCUACCAAGGCAACGAUCUGUAGUUGGUCUGAGAGGACGACCAGGCACACUGGGACUGAGACACGGCCCAGACUCCUACGGGAGGCAGCAGUGGGGAAUUUUGGACAAUGGGCUAAAGCCUGAUCCAGCAAUGCCGCGUGCAGGAAGAAGGCCUUCGGGUUGUAAACUGCUUUUGUCAGGGAAGAAAUCUUCUGGGCUAAUACCCCGGGAGGAUGACGGUACCUGAAGAAUAAGCACCGGCUAACUACGUGCCAGCCGCCGCGGUAA